Long non-coding RNA from Trifolium pratense (red clover), 1840 nucleotides. RefSeq lists it as uncharacterized. The record is from RefSeq and is a predicted model, not a curated record. The transcript has 3 exons. NCBI's taxonomy places the organism in Eukaryota, Viridiplantae, Streptophyta, Magnoliopsida, Fabales, Fabaceae.
AAUUCAAGAAACGAAUGAAACAAAAGCGCACACAUUGUGGAGUGCGAGCGACACAUCUAAUCUUUGUUCUUCAAGAAUCGAAUGAAACAAAAUCCUCUGUGUGUGGAUGUUCGGUGGUUCGCUCAAUCAUCUUUAUUAUUUGCAACAUCAACAAACAACAUUCAAUUUUCUGCUUGAAAAAAGGCCCCAGAAAUUGGAGUGCUUUCUCCAGAUCUUGUAGCAUACCUUGACAUCUCACCAGAUAAAGCUGCAGAAAGAGGAGGGUAUGAUGAUGAAAGAUAUGAAAAGCUUGAGUUUCAGAAGAAGGUUGCCGAACAUUACAAUGUCCUUCAUGAUGCCUCCUGGAAGGUAAUGAACUGUUUUUCUGGCCUCAAGAACAUUACAAAACCCAUUUUUUUCAUUUUUUAUUUUGUCAAGAACAUUCAAUCUUCUGCUUGAAAAAGAGGUACAACUUUACCCAUUUUUUUCGUUCUGGAUCAUUGAAGAACAAAAAGAACCUUAAUUAAAGUGUUCUGUCGCAAGAUCAUGUUUGGUACCAAUAUUUUAAAACAACAGUUUUUGGAAUUUUCAUUCCAACAUAUUUGCCCUAUCUGGUUUAUAUUCAAUUCGUGUUGGGAAUGAUGACGGACUUCGAUAAAAACUUUUAAUCUUCUGCUUCGAUAAAAAGUGAUUGGAUUCUUGAUGCCCAAAACAUGCUGGAUAAAUUACUUAAUGACCUUAGUCCCUGAAUGCAAAAGCUAGUUGUUGCCUUAAUUGCUACUCAAACAAUUGUCUCUAUCGAGUGUCCGCUUUUCUAUUAAAAAAAUAUGAAUUUUUAUUCAUAAUUAUGCAUGAAUGGGUAUAUAGUCUGCUUUGAUGACCCUUAGUCCCUAAAUUCAAUUCUACAACUGCAAUUAGAAGUGAUUUUGCAUUAUGAACAUAAUGGCCCUUGUCCCAAAUGUUUCAUAAGUUUUGUAAGGGAUGGAUGCCUCAAUGACCUUUGAGAAAAGUGCCUUAUGAAUUCUUUAUUCAUAAUGGAAAAGUUGGAUUGUGACUUUCAAAGGAAAGAAAUUUAAUAUGAAAGUUUAUUCAAAAUGUGGGUGGUGUCUAUUUUUUUUACCCUAAUUGUGAAAGUAAAUAGCCAAGCUACAUGAAGGUGUAGCCCUUAUUUAGAAAUAAAGGAACAAAUGAAGCAGAAACCACAAUGUCAGCAAAAGAGUACGCUUUGGAUGCUAAGAAGUCGAAGGGGAACAAUGAUCACAUUACCGGUAUGUGUUAUAUAUUUAAAUCGAGAACUUCUUUUUCUGUUGUUUAUAGUACAUCACAUUACUUCAUUUCCUCAAAAUGGGUUAAAAGGCUUAAUUUAGAAUUAGACCCUUUACCUACUCCAAUGGUAGUAACAGCUGCAACUGACGGUAGAAUAUAGACUGGAUGGGUAUAUGAAAAUUGUCCCAUUACAGUUUCCGAUCGAACCUUUUUAGUGGACUUGAUUUGUGUACAUUUGAAGAGUAUGGAUGUCAUAUUAGGUAUGGAUUGGCUUUCAGCCAAUUCGGUAUAUCUUGGAUGCAAAAAGAAAAUUGUUUUCAUACCACCCGGAAACAUGGCAGAAGGAGAAGUCAUAUCUGCAUCACUCGAUAAUUCUUGAAAAAAUUGUGUUUGAUUUAUCUAAUAAAUUGAAACAAUGAACAUUCAUUGUGUGCCGGAAUCUUUUUUCAUUAUCUGAAAAAGGGGUGGAGUAUAUUGCCAUAGUAACCCUAAAUUUGACCAUUGGAAUCGAUGAAUAUACUAUGUUUUAUAAAUUUUGUAACACAUGGAUCAUAGAUGCCUCAAUGACUAUAGAGUAAAAUGUUGGAUGAACUUA